Molecule: long non-coding RNA, 684 nt
Organism: Oncorhynchus gorbuscha (pink salmon)
Lineage: Eukaryota; Metazoa; Chordata; Actinopteri; Salmoniformes; Salmonidae
Exons: 5
Source: RefSeq, a predicted model, not a curated record
GAAACAUCAUUCCUGGAUACAAUUUCAUUGCAGCAAGUUUGGACGGCUGGUAAAUAUAUCGGCUGCCUCAUCCACAAAGAGGUGCUGGAAGAAAAAAAACACUGACUCCUGUUUUCAACUUUCUCUGUCUUUAUUAAUAUCUACAAGAAGAAUGUUUCAGCUUGGAAGCCAGCUGGCCCAGUUUCACUUCUCCACAGGACCCAGUACUGCUAGUGCAGGUGCCACAGGAGACAGUACACAGCCUACCCUAACAGUACAGGACUUUAUCCAACGUGUCAGGAAACUUGGCGGACUGAAAAAGAGAACAUUUUCUGCGACCUACGAGUCCCGACCCAGUUUCAAACCACCAAGGCAGACGACAUCGACCUCGUCAUCCUCACAGGUCACGGGGUGUUCUGCAUCGACGUGAAGCCUUGGAGAGGAACGGUGUCUUCCCAAAGGCAGCAAUGGCACGUCCAGCUUAAAGAACAGUACCACAACUUUACCAACACCUCCAUAGAACAGGUGGCUGACCCCCUUGAGGCCGUCAUGACCAAGACAACUAACCUGUGGCAGUACCUGAGGAGGAGCGGCCUGUCGGUGCGUCAGGAGCUCUUCCUACCCAGGCUAGUCUUCCUCGCCCCAGACUGCCAGCUGGAUGAAGAGUUGAGGAAGAGGAGGGAGCUGGUCUCCCACAGUCAAAUA